GAAUGCAUCUAAGUCCGAAAUUUGUCCUGAAUGUAUAUAUCUUCACCGACCGGACCCCGAAUUGAGCGAUUUUUUUUCUGGUGACGUAUAAAGCCCAGAGCUACCCCCUGGAAAGCGAAAAUACAAAAUUUGAUGUGUUGAGAUUUUUAUAAAAAAUAAUUACCGCAAUAGUCCACAAAAAGUGUUCCACGGGGUCCGUACCGGGCGCGGUUCACGGCCGGGUCCGCCACCAUUCGCUAUCGUCCGACUGGUGCCAAAUAUCGACACGGGAGACUAACGACACGGGGUAGAUCACGAUGGAGUCAU
RNAcentral lists this unclassified non-coding RNA (306 nucleotides) under Hevea brasiliensis (rubber tree). Lineage: Eukaryota; Viridiplantae; Streptophyta; Magnoliopsida; Malpighiales; Euphorbiaceae. The record is from RNAcentral.